AUCUCUUCUCGGCCUUUUGGCUAAGAUCAAGUGUAGUAUCUGUUCUUAUCAGUUUAAUUGUGGUAAAAACACAUAAUGCAGAAUUUACCAUCUUAAUCAUUUUAAGUGUACAGUUU
This 116-nucleotide small nuclear RNA is filed under the name Bos grunniens (domestic yak). RNAcentral describes it as "U2 spliceosomal RNA (ENSBGRG00000011497.1)". It matches the Rfam family "U2 spliceosomal RNA". Rfam says of the family: U2 is a small nuclear RNA (snRNA) component of the spliceosome (involved in pre-mRNA splicing). Lineage: Eukaryota; Metazoa; Chordata; Mammalia; Artiodactyla; Bovidae. The record is from Rfam by way of RNAcentral.